UUCCCAGAGUCUGGCCCAUCUUAGGUCUGGCCUUUUUCGGCUCCGCGGACAAUAUUACGGUUUUAUUAGGAGCUAUUAACUAUUGUUAAAAGAAAACUCAGAUUCUCAGUUGAUUCAGUAACUGUCAUAUUUCUUUCACUUAUUGAAACCAGAUGUUACCAGAUGAAUUUUCUGGAUAAUUGCAUCUACCUGGGGAGUAACCAACGUAAAGACAAUAAGCGUGCUCAACUACAAUGUAAGGUAGGCAAAUGGUGCUCUUCAAAGCUAAAGUAGCUCCUCAGGUAUAAUUUUCGGAGCCAUUUCUCCUUAAAAUAAAAGUGAGAAGUGUAUAAGACUCUACUAAAUAGGUAGCUUUUUUUACUGGUACUUUGCGAAAGUCAAAGUUUUCCCACCUUUGCACUGUUUGCCAUUGCGUUAAGCCAAAGAUGAAAUUAGUUUGCCCAUUUAGGAGACAACCUUUCCAUUACCGGCGUCAUUGAGUGACAAAAGUUCCAAAAAUCUUCAUUCUAAACCAGUUAAAUAUUCAUCAAUUACAUGGAUGCUACUGAAAUGAUUGGAUUCCUUGCCGAAAUCAAAAAUUCAAACGUGUGAUCAAAAAAGAUGGAGUCACGGCUGAGUCAGAGUGUACGUUGUGAUGCGUUCACGUCAAAACAUUUCACAACAGGUCGUGAUAAGUUCAAAUAGAUACGCAGUAAGGUACACUUUGAGGAAAGAACUUGAUACAAAAGUAAAAGGUUUUAGAAUUCGUACCGUAUUUAUAAAAUUCAGGAUCACUAUUUUCUUUUUAAAAUUUUUGUUUUGUAAUAUUUAAUGGAUCACUAGUGCGACAAAAAGGGCAUAUUGAACAAGUUUUUCAACAUCAUGUCAUGAAUGUAAUUUUUUAAAUCAUUAAAAUAAAAUAUUAAAAAUGAUGUUGAUACUACUAAUUUUAAUGGCAGUAUUUCGACCAUUGACAUGUUGCUGGGAUGACUUAGAUAGUAAUUAUAAUUACAUCAAAUUCAUAACAGUUGAAGAAGGAGAUUCAUUAAAACUUGCGUGUUAUGAUAGUGGUGAUCCCCAUUUACCUAUUAAAUGGUAUAGAGAACCAACACGAAGGAAUUUCACUUUACCGAACGGUGAAUUACGUUGUGAAUGAGUUUCCAUCCAUCACUAAAAAUCAACGAGGGAGAUAUUUUUGUAACAUUGACAGUAUACCGCUGAGUACUUCCAGGUACAUUAAAGUUAAUGUCAAUUUUAUACCAACCAUAUUAGAAACACGUCGUAUAGAUAAUCUUGGAAGUAAAGAACUCGAGUUGGGUUGUAAUAUAGAAGCUUAUCCACCACCAGAAAUUUUGUGGACAAAGAAUAAUAUAAUUUUGUAUACGAAUAAACAACAUCGAGUAAUGACUAAUUAUGACUGCAAUGAUGUGUAUAAUUCAACUCUUAUAGUAUCAACAGAAUCUAAUUAUUAUGGUAUUUACACGUGUCGAAUUAUGAAUAAAGUCGGACAAUUAGUCAUGACUUUUGUGGUAACAACUCCAACGGUAAAAACAAAUUUGCCAUCUGCUUAUGAUGGUAGCAAAGGACCAUAGGAUUUAAGGAAAAUUAAUUAUUUGUUCUACUUCAAGAUUACUUUAAAAAUAGGUGUCUGUAGAUAUGAUGAUUUAAAUAAUUAGUAUUUGAAAUACAAAUACAAAAGUCUCAUGCAUUGUCCAGGUCAUUGUUUUAUUAUAAAUUGAGAUAAAUUAUAUUUAAAGUUCCAACAGCAUCACUCAAGUAAAGCAAUUUAAAUCUUGUGAAAUUAAUUUUAAUAUAAACUAGAAAAUCAAAAAGUAUUGCUUGAAAAAAAUCAUCAAGGAUCAGUUUCUUAUUUAGGAUAUCAUUAAAAUAUUUUCGAUGACAAAAGAGUUUCUUGAAAAACGUAAGAAGAAAGAGAAAUUCUACUUUUCAUACACACGCAAACAAUAUAACUUCAGAAUCGUGCUCUUAUAUAAAUCAUUCUCACAUCUAUUCAACUUAUUUUUGAGUUCCAAAGCUCACACCAUAAAUAUAAAUAAUACCCAAUUUACUAAUAGCGUUGAGAUUUGUGUUCUUCUCUUCAAGGUAGCAUAUAGGUUUAUAAGAGAACGACAGAAUCGGAAGAGCCAUCAGUAAUUUCUGAGUUGCAGACCAGUGUGUUUAAGCAGAAAUUCAUCGUUUUUAAUCAUGAUGUUGAUACCCUUCGGCCUCAUUGCAAUACUUUUGCCAUCAAUAUCUUGCUUACAUUCUUUAGAAGGUCCCUAUAUUUAUGACAACCAUACCGGUAUUGUGAGUGUUGAAGAAGGGAAGUCACUAAAACUUGAAUGCUAUGCUAAUGGUGAUUUACCCAUUAUCUGGCAAAGAGACCCACUUCAUGCCAGGAACAACAAUCUGUUUUUACCAAAUGGAGAAUUACACUACACUGGAAACAUUUUAGAACUUCCAUCUAUCACCAAAGAUCAACGAGGAGAAUAUGUUUGCACCACUAGGACUUCAACUGGAAGUGCUUCCAAAUUUAUUUCAGUUUACGUUAAUUUUGCUCCGAUUAUAAAGGAAGCGCAUUAUAUAAAUCAUUUUGGAAACAGAAAACUCGAAUUGCGUUGUAAUGCAGAAGCUUAUCCAUUGCCUGAUGUCGUGUGGAUCAAAGACAAUGUAACAUUGUCUACCAAUGAGCAUCAUCGGAUUAUUGCUGGUCCUGUAUUCGUGGAUAAAUUUAAUACUAGCCUUAUAAUAUCAACAGAGUCGGAUUAUAUUGGUACUUAUGAGUGCCAAAUUGACAAUUAUCUUGGAAGUUCAACCAUGACUUUUGAAGUUACAGCUCCAUCUUUAAAAAGUUCAAACUAGAUGAUAUUUAAUUAGAAUCUACGGAAAACUGAAGCUCUUUAAUUCAAGACUAUCUUAAAAUAGAAAUAGAUAUUAAUAUUUCAGCGGUCAUUAUAUUUAAAAAUAAUAUCUUUAUAUCAAAAGAUUUAGAUGUUUUGCGUCGCAUAUCAUGAUAAAAAAAAUAGUUUUGAAAAAACUAAAAUAUAUUUCAUGUAUUGAUCAUCAAUAAAAAAGAAAUGGUAUUUAUUGUGGGUUAUUAAAAACAAAUCACCAUAAAUAAAACUAACUUUAAAUUACUAGACGACUUAUUUCGAAGGUGAAUGUUAACAGAUGUGAAAAUUUGGUCGAAUCACCCAAGUAGUGAACAAAGAGUGUCAUGAUCUGAGUCUUGUGAAAUUAACUUCAAUAUGUAUUGUCAAGUCAAAAAUUAUUAAAUCUUAUUUGUUUAGAAAUUUAUGCAAAUAACUUAAGCUCUUUUUCAAUGGAUUGCCCGGACGUUUUUCUUUUCUUUCCCACUUUGCUGUGUCUAUUCAUUCAAAACUCUUGGAAAAUACAUAUGAUAGAAACUAUUGGUCGUCUACACAUAAAUUAUUUAUUAAUGUAGCAUAUGAGUUUAUAAAAGAACUACGGAAUAGAAAAAGCCAUCAGUAAUUUUUGAAUCACAGACCAGUGAUGUGUUUGAACAAAAAUUCAUUAUUAUCAAACAUGAUGUUGAUAUAUUUUAGCUUCAUUGCAGUGUUUUUACCAUCAAUUUCUUGUUUAAAGGGUCCAUAUAUUUAUGACAAUUCUACCAUUGGUGUGGUAGUUCAAGAAGGAGAUUCACCAAAACUUGAGUGUUAUGCUAAUGAUAAUUUAUCUAUUAAAUGGCAUAGAGAUCCAUCACAUGG
This 3707-nucleotide unclassified non-coding RNA is filed under the name Chelonus insularis. Its description in RNAcentral is "lachesin-like, transcript variant X5". Lineage: Eukaryota; Metazoa; Arthropoda; Insecta; Hymenoptera; Braconidae. The record is from RNAcentral.